AAUGACAGAACAGGGGACAGGAAACAUUAAGUAAUAACACAAACAAACAAAAAAUUAUUACGAUGAUUACAUCAUCAUCAGUCAAACAAAUGGAAUAGUACAGAAAAUCCAUAUUGUUUAGCAUAGGUUUUGCUUGCCAAAAAGACUGAAAAAAAUAUAAUUGUGGAGCAAUUUUAUUUCAAUUUCAGUUAUUAUAAUUAUUUCUUGCAGGUUAAUCCAAAGGAACCUGACGCAAGAAUAAAACACAUUUUAUACUUCAACUAUGUUACUUUUCAAAGAGUCAUAUUUUAGGAACUCGCAAGGGACGUAGAUAAAACCGGUUUUGGUUGGAAGGUGAAAUCUUCGUUUUCUGCAGCGGUCACAAACCAGUGUGACACGCUAAUACUCUUUGGUCUAUGGCGGAAUGUUCGGAUGGAGAUUUCG
Molecule: long non-coding RNA, 423 nt
Organism: Hippocampus comes (tiger tail seahorse)
Lineage: Eukaryota; Metazoa; Chordata; Actinopteri; Syngnathiformes; Syngnathidae
Exons: 2
Source: RefSeq, a predicted model, not a curated record